RNAcentral lists this ribosomal RNA (443 nucleotides) under Levilactobacillus brevis. RNAcentral's name for it is "bacterial SSU rRNA". It matches the Rfam family "Bacterial small subunit ribosomal RNA", at positions 434 to 863 of the family's 1533-position model. Lineage: Bacteria; Bacillati; Bacillota; Bacilli; Lactobacillales; Lactobacillaceae. The record is from RNAcentral.
GUUGUUAAAGAAGAACACCUUUGAGAGUAACUGUUCAAGGGUUGACGGUAUUUAACCAGAAAGCCACGGCUAACUACGUGCCAGCAGCCGCGGUAAUACGUAGGCGGCAAGCUGUUCUCCGGAUCGAUUCGCCCGGUAAAGCGAGCGCAGCCCGUUUUUUAAGUGCUGAUGCGAAAGCCUUCCGCUCAACCGGAGAAGUGCAUAGGAAACUGGGAAACUUGAAUGCAGAAAACGACAAUGGAACUCCAUGUGUAGCGGUGGAAUGCGUAGAUAUAUGGAAGAACACCAGUGGCGAAGGCGGCUGUCUAGUCUGUAACUGACGCUGAGGCUCGAAAAGCAUGUGGUAGCGAACAGGAUUAGAUACCCUGGUAGUCCAUGCCGUAAACGAUGAGUGCUAAGUGUUGGAGGGUUUCCGCCCUUCAGUGCUGCAGCUAACGCAUUAA